Molecule: ribosomal RNA, 497 nt
Filed under: uncultured bacterium
Lineage: Bacteria
Description: partial 16S ribosomal RNA
Rfam family: Bacterial small subunit ribosomal RNA
Source: RNAcentral
GAUGAACGCUGGCGGCGUGCCUAAUACAUGCAAGUCGAGCGAACAGACGAGGAGCUUGCUCCUCUGACGUUAGCGGCGGACGGGUGAGUAACACGUGGAUAACCUACCUAUAAGACUGGGAUAACUUCGGGAAACCGGAGCUAAUACCGGAUAAUAUAUUGAACCGCAUGGUUCAAUAGUGAAAGACGGUUUUGCUGUCACUUAUAGAUGGAUCCGCGCCGCAUUAGCUAGUUGGUAAGGUAACGGCUUACCAAGGCAACGAUGCGUAGCCGACCUGAGAGGGUGAUCGGCCACACUGGAACUGAGACACGGUCCAGACUCCUACGGGAGGCAGCAGUAGGGAAUCUUCCGCAAUGGGCGAAAGCUUGACGGAGCAACGCCGCGUGAGUGAUGAAGGUCUUCGGAUCGUAAAACUCUGUUAUUAGGGAAGAACAAAUGUGUAAGUAACUAUACACGUCUUGACGGUACCUAAUCAGAAAGCCACGGCUAACUACGUG